Molecule: ribosomal RNA, 4322 nt
Filed under: Triticum aestivum (bread wheat)
Lineage: Eukaryota; Viridiplantae; Streptophyta; Magnoliopsida; Poales; Poaceae
Description: partial small subunit ribosomal RNA
Source: RNAcentral
CCAAACCCAUCUGCACCCCCGGCUGUCAUCUUCUUCCCCGCCCUCGCCCUCGCCCCAGCAACCGCUCGCCCCAACCGCGGCGCCACCCAUCGCACAGUGGCCGUGUGCGGUGGGGUGGUUCUGCGAGGCUAUGGCGAUGGCGAGGAGGCAGCACAUCACAAUAUUCACCACGGCGAGCCUGCCGUGGAUGACCGGCACUGCUGUCAACCCCCUGUUCCGGGCGGCUUACCUCGCCAAGGCCGGGGACUGGGAGGUCACGCUGGUGGUGCCGUGGCUGUCCAAGGGGGACCAGAUGCUGGUUUACCCUAACAAGAUGAAAUUCAGUGGGCCGGCGGAGCAAGAAGGCUAUGUGUGGCGGUGGCUUGAGGAGCGGACUGGGCCGUUGCCGAGAUUCAACAUAAUUUUCUAUCCUGGGAAGUUCUCGACGGAGAAAAGAAGCAUUCUACCUGUUGGGGAUAUUACCGAGACGAUAUCUGAUGAAAAAGCAGAUAUUGCAGUUCUAGAAGAGCCAGAACAUCUGACCUGGUACCAUCAUGGACGGAGGUGGAAAAAAAAAUUCCGUAAAGUUAUAGGUGUUGUUCACACCAACUAUCUGGAAUACGUGAAGAGGGAGAAAAAUGGGUACAUUCAGGCAUUUCUCUUAAAACAUAUCAAUUCUUGGGUCACCGACAUCUACUGCCAUAAGGUUAUAAGAUUAUCGGGAGCAACUCAGGAAGUCCCGAGAUCUGUAAUCUGUAAUGUUCAUGGAGUAAACCCGAAAUUUAUUGAAAUUGGCAAAUUGAAGCAUCAGCAAAUAUCUCAAAGAGAGCAAUCAUUUUUCAAGGGUGCAUAUUAUAUUGGGAAGAUGGUCUGGAGUAAAGGCUACACAGAGCUGCUCCACCUGCUUCAGAAGCACCAAAAGGAACUGUCUGGUCUCAAGAUGGAGCUCUAUGGCAGUGGAGAAGAUUCGGAUGAAGUUAAAGCAUCAGCUGAGAAACUCAAUCUGGACGUUAGAGUCUAUCCUGGUCGUGACCAUGCAGAUUCAAUAUUUCACGACUACAAGGUUUUCAUAAACCCAAGCACAACAGAUGUAGUUUGCACCACAACUGCAGAAGCCUUGGCGAUGGGAAAGAUUGUGAUCUGCGCAAAUCAUCCUUCAAAUGAAUUUUUCAAAAGAUUUCCCAACUGCCACAUGUACAGCACGGAGAAAGAGUUUGUGAGACUAACCAUGAAAGCACUGUCAGAAGAGCCAAUCCCACUGACAGAGGAACUGAGGCACGAGCUUUCCUGGGAGGCAGCGACAGAGAGGUUUGUCAGGGUUGCUGAAAUCGCACCAGCCACGCCCGCCAAGCAACAUCCUUCCACUUCACAGCGUUUCAUGUACAUCAACCCGGAUGAGCUGAAGAAGAACAUGGAAGAGGCGUCGGCAUUCUUUCACAACACCAUCUCUGGGUUUGAAGCCGCCCGUUGUGUGUUUGGCGCGAUACCGAACAGCCUGCAGCCCGAUGAACAGCAGUGCAAGGAGCUUGGGUGGAGACCCCAGGGAUUAUAGCCUUUCCACCUCCAUGCUGUUGGCAUCGACCAUACAAGUUUACAACUAAUCGCAGCCCAGUUGGGGGGCUGAGGGAACCAACUCUGAAACGGAAACAUGUGUGCUCUGAAAAGGAUUACCGCUUGACAGGCCCUUGCUUUGCUCUCUUUCUGGUGUGAUGAAACUGCAGUUUUCCUUGGUGUCGUCCAUCAGAUCUGUAUCUGGCGAUUGUGAAGUCUACCGGCAGCAACACCAACGCCAACACCAACACGGUUGCUUCUCCCCCAGCGGCGGAAGGAAUCUCGGGUCCCUCCUCCCCCGGCGCCGGGCGGGACCUCGACGGGUAAAUCGCGACGGCGCCCUAGAACCCCCGAGCAGCCGGGCGAUGGAGGACCGCGGCGGCGGGGGCGGGGGCGCGGGCGGGCGGCGGGUGGGGGACUACGUGCUGCUGCGCCCGAUCGGGUCGGGGGCCUACUCACAGGUCUGGCUGGGGAAGCACGUCGCGCGGGGCACCGAGGUGGCCGUCAAGGAGAUCGCCAUGGACCGCCUCAGCGCCAAGCUCCGCGACAGCCUCCUCUCCGAGGUCGACAUCCUCCGCCGCAUCACGCACCCCAACAUCAUCGCGCUCCACGAUUCCAUCAGGGAUGGCGGGAGGAUAUAUCUCAUAUUGGAGUAUUGUCGAGGUGGUGACUUGUACGCGUAUCUUCUACGGCAUAAAAGGGUUCCUGAAACUGUUGCUAAGCAUUUCAUUCGGCAGCUAGCAUGUGGUCUGCAGAAGCUUCGUGAAAGCAACGUGGUUCAUCGGGAUCUUAAACCACAGAACAUUCUUCUUGUUUCAAAUAAUGGAACGUCCAUCUUGAAGAUUGCUGACUUCGGAUUUGCAAAAUUUUUGCAACCUUCUGGUCUAGCUGAAACACUUUGUGGUUCACCCCUUUACAUGGCUCCAGAAGUCAUGCAAGCUCAGAAGUAUGAUGCAAAGGCAGAUCUUUGGAGCGUUGGUAUUAUUCUAUAUCAACUUGUUACUGGAUCUCCACCUUUUAACGGGGAUAGUCAAAUCCAGUUGAUGAAAAACAUACUAAAGUCAGGUCAAUUACGAUUUCCAUCUGAUUGUGAGUUGAGCCAUGAUUGCAUUGACUUGUGCAGAAAGUUACUGCGAAUCAGUUCAGUGGAACGCCUUACAGUUGAAGAGUUUGUGAACCAUCCAUUUCUCUCUGAACAUGCUCCAGAGAGAAUCUUGAGUCGGACACCAUCAGACACAAGAGAUGGCUUUCCCUUCACUAAAAGCAGUCCAACGAGGCUUUCGGGCCAAAGUUCUCAAGAAGAUUGUAUGCCUUUUCCUUUAGAUCUGUCAACUGGACAGGAGGAGAGUCCUGCUCCUGAGAGUAAUGCCCCAAUGAAAUCUUAUGGGUUUGCUACUAGUAAAAAGUUGGAUAAAACUUCAGGCCAGAGUCCGUCGAAGCAUACAGGCCUGUUCUCCAGAUACAUCAUGGGCAACAAUUAUGCACCUAGCAGUCAACGUCUGGACCAUCCUGGUCAAAGGACCAAAGAAAGCAAGAUUGGUGAAGGACGUGGUGCUAAAGGUGUUCAUCCAGAAGAUUCCCCUAUCAUUGAUUCAUUAGAGUUUGUAGAUCAGGAAUAUGUCUUUGUGUCUGGACAUGCGGAAGGAUCCUCUUCUUCAACAAGUGCCUCUCUACAGCGUAAUUUGCCAGCUAAGUAUGAGAAUCCUUCUGUUUCGCCACCAAACUUAGCUGCUCUGAGUGCACCAGUGCCAAUAAAUGGCACAGCAAUAAACAGGCAACAGUCUGCUGGAACUGGUAGCUUGGACAGUCAUUGUUCUCCAAUAUCUGGUACUUCACAUGGAUCUGCGUACAUGAGUGAUGGCUUGGAUCAACCACCAUCUCAUUAUCUGACCAGGAUUAGAUUAUUGGGGCAGUAUGCUUCUACCAUAGCGGAGUUGGUCAAAGAAGAGAUAAAAGGUGGCAGGCACUUAGAGGCAUUCUCGAUCCAGCUAAUUAUUCUUGCGACCUGGAAGCAAGCAAUUCACAUAUGCAAUUCCUAUGCGGCUUCAGCUGCCAGAGAGAGUCCCUCACAUGAUAUCACUAUGAAGGGGCUUGAUACUGACGUUCUCCAAUUGCUUGCAAACUCUCAAAUGGCUGAUGAAGAAUGCACACAGAUUGAGAGGCAGUUUCUCACUGAAGUUGAACAUGCUGAAGAACUUGCAAGCACUGUAGGGCAGAUACCUGAUGCUACAGCGAUGCCCGACGCUGUUGAAUUAAUAUUUCAAUUUGCACUAGAAUAUGGAAGGCAUGGUGGUGUUGUAGAGAUGAUGGGGAAAGCAGCAGUGGCCAUGUCGCGGUAUACAAAGGCAAUAUGCUUGCUGCGUUUUCUCCUGAUCGAGGCACCAUCGCUCGCCCUCAACCCGCCUUUGUCCCUGACUAGAUCUGACCGACACCGACUGCGCUCAUACAUUGAAGCCCUCAACGCAAGGCUCAGCCAGUUGCAAUGCCCGAGUCACUGACCGCUGCCGGUGGGCCUUCUUGGGGGCUGACUUGUACAAUAUUCUUUCAUUUGUACAUAUAUUUGUUGGCCCAAACGAGGGCGUGUAAGAUGGCCACGCUAGAGAUCGUGAGAUUAGCGAAUGUAGUGGAAAUCCAGUGUAACCGCCCAAACUACUAUCGUAACGUGAGGUGUGUGUGCGUGUGUUAUGCAUGCUUUAUUCUGUACCAACUAAGGCUGCAGCCAUGGUCAUGAUGUAAACAGACUGCUUACUCGUUAUUUAUUUCUUGGGCCGUUACACUAUGCUGAAGGUGUC